Molecule: long non-coding RNA, 1045 nt
Filed under: Homo sapiens (human)
Lineage: Eukaryota; Metazoa; Chordata; Mammalia; Primates; Hominidae
Description: HSALNT0379707
Source: RNAcentral
AGUAACACUCUGGGAGGGCUCAGGCCACAUCACGAAAUGUGACAGGAUAGCCUUGAACUCAUCAAUUGCUGGGGGCACCUCAAACUCAACUCCAAAAUUGAUCUAAUGAACUUUCCCAAACCACAUUCCCUUCUUGCAUUUCUGAGAGAAUGGAUUCCCAUUCAUCUGACUACAGUGCUACCCUGAAAGCAGAUCCAGAGACUAAGAUUCACCUGCAGGUGAUUCAUUUGCAAGGUAAGCUGUCAUCAGUUGGAGGUAAGCAGAAGACAGUAGAGAGUACAGAGCCCUGGACUGUGACUCAGAGGAUGAGCACCAGAUCCAGUUUGCUGUGCCACAGUGCUCAGCAUGAUGUAAACUCCACUGCGGACAGAUGCAGCCAAGAAGACAGGUCACCUUCUACCAACUCCCACCAGAGGAAACUCUUCCCCAGGACCCAGUACGUUGGCCCUCUGACCCUGCACACAGCACAUGAUGCUGAGGUUCAGUGCUGAACAAGAGCUACUGAGAGCCAGAGAUUCACUUCUUCCAUGGAGCCCCACUCAUGGAUGGAGGCUCUGUCCCGGGUCCAGUGCCACUGGGAACACUGGGUCUCUGGUUUCUAGCUCUGUCCUAUGGCAGAGGUUCCACCCCACAAUAACCGAAGUGCUGAGAAGGUGGGAAGCUCCUGCCCGACCCUCCACUGAGAGCUCAGCUCCUAGGCUGAGGAAUAAAACAGCUCAACUUUGUCUACACCUGCAGAACCUUGUUUAGGAGCUCUGUCCCAGGAGAGAGGGGGCAAUGGAAUUCAGUCAUAAAAUAUGAUCCUUAAUUAGUCCUAAAAAUCCUAACUUCAGUAACAGCAGAUUGUGGACAAAUUGAAAGCCUGCCAGUGCUCUCAAAAACAGUGGAUGGUGUGGUGGAAAGCCCUUGGAAGGAGACGGGUGGAUGCAUGGGAGAUGCAGGCUACACUGCAGGGCUGCUGGCUUGCAGGAGAGAACCGAGGACAAGGGAGAGCUGGGGAAAGUUCUCUUGUGGUUGAAAUAAAUGCCAGACACUCUUCAAUGGA